RNAcentral lists this ribosomal RNA (386 nucleotides) under uncultured prokaryote. RNAcentral describes it as "bacterial SSU rRNA". It matches the Rfam family "Archaeal small subunit ribosomal RNA", at positions 339 to 725 of the family's 1478-position model. The record is from RNAcentral.
GCGCGAAAACUUUACAAUGCUGGCAACAGCGAUAAGGGAACCUCGAGUGCCAGGUUACAAAUCUGGCUGUCGAGAUGCCUAAAAAGCAUUUCAUAGCAAGGGCCGGGCAAGACCGGUGCCAGCCGCCGCGGUAACACCGGCGGCCCGAGUGGUAACCGUUAUUAUUGGGUCUAAAGGGGCUGUAGCCGGCCGGAUAAGUCUCUUGAGAAAUCUGGCAGCUUAACUGUCAGGCUUUCAGGAGAUACUGUCUGGCUCGAGGCCGGGAGAGGUGUGAGGUAUUUCAGGGGUAGGGGUGAAAUCUUGUAAUCCUUGAAGGACCACCAGUGGCGAAGGCGUCUCACCAGAACGGACCUGACGGCAAGGGACGAAAGCUAGGGGCACGAACC